Molecule: small nuclear RNA, 107 nt
Organism: Octodon degus (degu)
Lineage: Eukaryota; Metazoa; Chordata; Mammalia; Rodentia; Octodontidae
Source: Ensembl
GUGCUUGUUUCGGCAGCACAUAUACCAAAAUGGGAAUGAUACAGAGAAGAUUAACAUGGCCCCAGCACAAGGAGGACAUGCAAAUUCGUGAAGCAUUCUAUAUUUUA